This 254-nucleotide ribosomal RNA is filed under the name uncultured bacterium. RNAcentral's name for it is "partial 16S ribosomal RNA". It matches the Rfam family "Bacterial small subunit ribosomal RNA", at positions 524 to 776 of the family's 1533-position model. The record is from RNAcentral.
UACGGGGGAUGCAAGCGUUAUCCGGAUUUAUUGGGUUUAAAGGGUGCGUAGGCUGUGAGGUAAGUCAGCGGUGAAAUGCCCCCGCUCAACGGGGUGAAGUGCCAUUGAUACUGCCUUGCUGGAAUGCGGAUGCCGUGGGAGGAAUGUGUGGUGUAGCGGUGAAAUGCAUAGAUAUCACACAGAACACCGAUUGCGAAGGCAUCUCACGCAUCCGCGAUUGACGCUGAUGCACGAAAGCGUGGGUAUCAAACAGG